UAUGUGUAUGUCUAUAGGUAUGAAUGUAUGUACAUAUAGAUGCAUAUAUAUUAUACAUACACGUACAUAUAAGAGACAUA
Molecule: microRNA precursor, 80 nt
Filed under: Dipodomys ordii (Ord's kangaroo rat)
Lineage: Eukaryota; Metazoa; Chordata; Mammalia; Rodentia; Heteromyidae
Description: miRNA (ENSDORG00000023440.1)
Source: RNAcentral